This 245-nucleotide ribosomal RNA is filed under the name uncultured bacterium. RNAcentral's name for it is "partial 16S ribosomal RNA". It matches the Rfam family "Bacterial small subunit ribosomal RNA", at positions 524 to 768 of the family's 1533-position model. The record is from RNAcentral.
UACGGAGGAUCCGAGCGUUAUCCGGAUUUACUGGGUUUAAAGGGUGCGUAGGCGGGCCCCUAAGUCAGCGGUGAAAGUCUGCGGCUCAACCGUAGGAUUGCCGUUGAUACUGGGGGCCUUGGAUGCGGUCGAGGCGGGCGGAAUGCGUGGUGUAGCGGUGAAAUGCUUAGAUAUCACGCAGAACGCCGAUUGCGAAGGCAGCUCGCCGGGCCGUGAUCGACGCUGAGGCACGAAAGCGUGGGGAU